RNAcentral lists this non-coding RNA (47 nucleotides) under Marmota monax (woodchuck). It matches the Rfam family "Histone 3' UTR stem-loop". From Rfam's summary of the family: The mRNAs of metazoan histone genes lack a poly-A tail. 3' end processing occurs at a site between a highly conserved stem-loop (modelled by this family) and a purine rich region around 20 nts downstream (the histone downstream element, or HDE). The stem-loop is bound by a 31 kDa stem-loop binding protein (SLBP - also termed the histone hairpin binding protein, or HBP). Lineage: Eukaryota; Metazoa; Chordata; Mammalia; Rodentia; Sciuridae. The record is from RNAcentral.
ACAAAGGCUCUUUUCAGAGCCACCCUAAACUGUCCUUGAAGAAGCUG